UAGGGAAUCUUCCGCAAUGGACGCAAGUCUGACGGAGCAACGCCGCGUGAGUGAAGAAGGUUUUCGGAUCGUAAAACUCUGUUGUAAGAGAAGAACAAAUUGUAGAGUAACUGCUACAGUCUUGACGGUAUCUUACCAGAAAGCCACGGCUAACUACGUGCCAGCAGCCGCGGUAAUACGUAGGUGGCAAGCGUUGUCCGGAUUUAUUGGGCGUAAAGGGGGCGCAGGCUGCUUCUUAAGUCUGAUGUGAAAGCCCACGGCUUAACCGUGGAAGUGCAUUGGAAACUGGGAAGCUUGAGUACAGAAGAGGAAAGUGGAAUUCCCAGUGUAGCGGUGAAAUGCGUAGAUAUUGGGAGGAACACCAGUAGCGAAAGCGGCUUUUUGGCCUGCAACUGACACUGAGGCGCGAAAGCGUGGGGAGCAAACAGG
RNAcentral lists this ribosomal RNA (429 nucleotides) under Verrucomicrobiota bacterium. RNAcentral's name for it is "Verrucomicrobia bacterium partial 16S ribosomal RNA". It matches the Rfam family "Bacterial small subunit ribosomal RNA", at positions 355 to 776 of the family's 1533-position model. Lineage: Bacteria; Pseudomonadati; Verrucomicrobiota. The record is from RNAcentral.